This 76-nucleotide transfer RNA is filed under the name uncultured Quadrisphaera sp. RNAcentral describes it as "tRNA-Thr-TGT". It matches the Rfam family "tRNA". From Rfam's summary of the family: Transfer RNA (tRNA) molecules are approximately 80 nucleotides in length. Their secondary structure includes four short double-helical elements and three loops (D, anti-codon, and T loops). Further hydrogen bonds mediate the characteristic L-shaped molecular structure. tRNAs have two regions of fundamental functional importance: the anti-codon, which is responsible for specific mRNA codon recognition, and the 3' end, to which the tRNAs corresponding amino acid is attached (by aminoacyl-tRNA synthetases). tRNAs cope with the degeneracy of the genetic code in two manners: having more than one tRNA (with a specific anti-codon) for a particular amino acid; and 'wobble' base-pairing, i.e. permitting non-standard base-pairing at the 3rd anti-codon position. Lineage: Bacteria; Bacillati; Actinomycetota; Actinomycetes; Kineosporiales; Kineosporiaceae. The record is from RNAcentral.
GCCAGCAUGGCGCAACUGGUAGCGCACCUGUCUUGUAAACAGGGGGUUGUGGGUUCGAGUCCCACUGCUGGCUCCG